RNAcentral lists this long non-coding RNA (1022 nucleotides) under Cicer arietinum (chickpea). RNAcentral describes it as "long non-coding RNA (CARI_LNC000687)". Lineage: Eukaryota; Viridiplantae; Streptophyta; Magnoliopsida; Fabales; Fabaceae. The record is from RNAcentral.
GUGAAUUUGAUAGAAUUCAGAAUCGAGACUAUCGAACAAUUUUGGUGAUAAAUAUAGAUAGGAGAAUUCAAAUGAACUACUUGUAUAUAUUGAUAAUCAAGAUCAUAGCAAUGCAAGUUUUAGACAAAUGAUCAGUUCAUACAAAUUGUAUGUAAGACCUUAUGCUAAGUUCACGUGCAUAUUUUUUUAUUUCGAUUGUAUAUAAUUAUUAUCUAAAACAACAACACAUCCCCGUAGUAAGUCGAGUAAAACAUUGUCCACCAUUUCGAAAUCCAAGGUUACGGCAGUCCUUAUCACAAUCUGUUUCUGGAUUGCAAGGCUUCACGCAUGUUCCUCCAGGAGGAACCGACAGACUAGUAACAAGUCCUAAACAAACCAAAAUAAAAAAUUAUCACAUCAUGUUCCUUUUAAAAUUUUCAAUUCAAUGUUAUUUGGACUUAUACACUAAAACAUUUAGUAGAAGGUAUCAUCUAAACAAAUUAUUAUUGUUUUUCGGAUUUUGCAUUAUUUUUAUAAAAAAUAUACUAUACUUUAUGUACAACUUUUUGAAAAGUGAUUGAGGAUUGCUGAUUUAAUAGUAAAAUUAGUAUAAUUUAUAAAAACAUUUUUACUAACUGUAGAUAGUAAAAAAAUUAAUUAGUUGAAAUAUAAUAAAUAAAAAUAUAUUAUUAAAAAAAGUAAUUAAUAUUAUGUUAAUAUUGUAAAAGAAUAAAUAACUUAAAAAAAUAACAAAUAAAAUACUUAUUGUGAAAUAGAUGAAGGAUCAACUAAAAAAUCCCUAUUAGAAUAGAGACAUAUAUCAACACUGAUAUAACAAUAAUAUCAAGUUUAAAUUGAAUUGCUAUGAAAAAAAUUAAUAUUACAUUUGCAAAUUGUAUGUAAAAAAAUUCAUUUCAUAUGAUAAAAUUAGCAUUAACCAUAUACCUGAACCCAAAACCAAAACGAUGCAUAGAACACCUAAAAGAUAGGAUUGAUUGAUGUGAAUAGCCAUUUCGUAUAAUUUUAUCUUAUAUUUAUUUGUU